Molecule: ribosomal RNA, 434 nt
Filed under: uncultured bacterium
Lineage: Bacteria
Description: partial 16S ribosomal RNA
Rfam family: Bacterial small subunit ribosomal RNA
Source: RNAcentral
AGCGAACGCUGGCGGCAGGCCUAACACAUGCAAGUCGAACGAACCUUUCGGGGUUAGUGGCGGACGGGUGAGUAACACGUGGGAACGUGCCUUUAGGUUGGGAAUAAUUCAGGGAACUUUGUGCUAAUACCGAUGGUGCCCUCCGGGGGAAAGAUUUAUCGCCUUUAGAGCGGCCCGCGUCUGAUUAGCUAGUUGGUUGAGGUAAUGGCUCACCAAGGCGACGAUCAGUAGCUGGUCUGAGAGGAUGAUCAGCCACAUUGGGACUGAGACACGGCCCAAACUCCUACGGGAGGCAGCAGUGGGGAAUCUUGCGCAAUGGGCGAAAGCCUGACGCAGCCAUGCCGCGUGAAUGAUGAAGGUCUUAGGAUUGUAAAAUUCUUUCACCGGGGACGAUAAUGACGGUACCCGGAGAAGAAGCCCCGGCUAACUUCGUG